UUAUUUGGUAUAUAUAAUAUAUAUAUCAGAUAAUGUAAAUGUCUGGUUAGAUGUAAUAUGAUAGUGUGACACUAAAAUGGCUUGAACUUUGAAGUAUUAAAAAUUAAGAUUAUUAUAUUUUCAAUAAAAAUAUAAUAUUUAUUUUUAUAUAUACUUAUUAUAUAAUUAUUAUAAAUUUAUGAAUUAAAUGAAACUAUAUAUUUUAAAAAAUAUAUUAUCUUAUUAUUUUAUUAAAUUAUAUAAUAGAACUAAUCUAACUUAUCAUUAAUGAAAUUUAUUAUUAUUAUUAUUAAGUAAUAAUCUAACUCUAUUAAAAGUAGAAUAACAAGCCUUCUUAGCUAUGCCAGGUGGGAUCAGAAAAUCAGCCACUCGUGUUGCAGCAAUUAUCCAUGUCAUUUUGAUUAAUCUUGGACACGGGUUCUCUUCUUUCUUCUAUAUUGCUGGCGACGUAUCACUUCCUCUUCUUCCACCACGUAUUUGCAACCGUCGAAAUAACUCCAGCUCUUCACUCCUCUGCAAUUAAAUAUCGAAUACUUCCUCAUCCUUCCAGCUUCUAUAUUUAGGAACACGUUGGCAAGUCUCUGCUCAUCUUUUCGUCUCGCUAUCUUCUUCUAUUAUUGCAGUCUUCUAUUACAUCUGGAGAGGGCAAUGGAGAGACGGAGAAGCUUGAUUGGGUUCGUUGAGAAGCAAAAAAUCUUCCCGGGUAGUAAUAGAGAGAGCACCAGUUGUGGAUCCAGUUCGAUGGUACUCGGAGAAAUUCGUGAAAGGACAAUGAGAUAAAGAAGACUGUGUUCCUGAGUGAAAAACGUAAAUAGAAUGUCUCUCGGAGAGUUUAGAUCGAAAACUUCUUACGUCCAUUUUGGAGUUUUCUGACAUGAUGGUUGCCCUUCUGUUGUAAGCCACUUUGGGAUUUCUGCGUUUGCAAUCUGGUGAGUCAACAUCUGAUCUUAUCGUGUUAUUUCAAACAUGGAAGCGGGUAGAUUGGGCUCCAACCAUCGGUUAGAAGGUUUUUUCCCGGAUUACUCCAGCAGUUCAAUAAUAGCUGAUGUUAUUAUAUGCGAAAAUAUGUUUCGGGUGCUGACUUCUUCUUCUUCAUCAGCUGGUGCUCCCCUUCGUUUCUUUGUUUAUGACAAGUAUUUAAAAGGACUAAAAAGGAACUCUAGAGUGGUGACAACAUUACAAAAAUACUUUCAAAGUAUUUGGACCAUUGGGAUCAUCACACUUCACAGCAGAGUUCGUACACUCUUACAAACAAUGAUGUUAGGCCUGUUCGUUUCUCUGACGCAGCGUCAGCGGCGGCAACCAAUAAGCGGCAACCAAUAAUUAACAAACAGAUGAGAGAAAUUUUAACUGUGUGUUGUUGUAUAGUUGCCGCCGGCGACUUCCAUUGCUCCUCUUUUCUGUAAUUUUAUUGCCGCUGCAAAUAACAGCGUCUCCCACCUCAUACGAAACGUGACGCAGCGUCCAAUGAUUGUCUUUUCUAACUCUCUAAUUUUAAUUGGUUGCUGAGCUGUCAUUAAAAUUUCUUUACAUUUUUUAUCGUUUGUCGUUGACGCAGCACGUUCUGGAAACGAACAGCACUGUUAACGUAGGAUUAUUUUGACCGGGAGGUGGUGAGAGAUUUCUCUUUGGUGUGGCCUUUCAAGAAAUCUGUAUUUCUUUUUUUAUUGAUAUCCAUUUUAAUGCAAAGCCUUCAACAUA
Molecule: long non-coding RNA, 1701 nt
Organism: Brassica napus (rape)
Lineage: Eukaryota; Viridiplantae; Streptophyta; Magnoliopsida; Brassicales; Brassicaceae
Exons: 7
Source: RefSeq, a predicted model, not a curated record